Molecule: long non-coding RNA, 9887 nt
Organism: Equus caballus (horse)
Lineage: Eukaryota; Metazoa; Chordata; Mammalia; Perissodactyla; Equidae
Source: Ensembl
CAGAGAUAAAAGACAGGGGCUGUCUGCACAUGAGCAGCAACCCCGGAAAGUCUGGAGCGAUUGCAAACCUAAGAGCAAAUACCAGUCAGCAAAACAGUGCUGCUAUUAAGAACGCUAACACAGUGAUGCAGUAACAGGAGGGUGACAGGCCAAAACCAGGAAAAGGCACCCAAGAUGUUAACCACAUUCUUGGAUUCCUGGGCACCCUCCAGUUUCUGACCUUGUUCUCCUAAACUCCAGCCUGCAACUCUCUGUGAAAAUGCAAAUAGCAAAAUGGGGAUAAUAUGUUACCGAAUACAGGAAAAGCAGAAGGAAACAUUCAGAUUGUCAUGAGACAAGCUAUUCCGUUUACUGAGUGCUGAAAACUAAGAGCGGCAGAUAGACUGGGUAACAUGGAGGAUCAGAAGGUUAGCCCUGUGAUUAACUGCUGCCAAUCCUCCUCUUUAUGCUGAGGAAGGCUGGCCCUGAGCUAACAUCCGUGCCCAUCCUCCUCUACUUUAUAUGUGGGACGCCUACCACAGCAUGGCUUGCCAAGCGGUGCCAUGUCCAUACCCGGCAUCCGAACUGGCGAAACCCAGGCUGCUGAAGCAGAACGUAUGCGCUUAACCACUGCACCACCGGCAGGCCCCAAGAUGCUUCCUUGAUAAUUGGAGUUUCAUGUUAAUUUAUUUCAAGGUGUACUGUGACAUGGAGUAACAGGGGAUGCAUUUCCUUCAGUGGUGUCUUCACUUGGAGAAGCCUCAAUGCCGUCAAGAAGAGGAUGCCCACCAGGUUUAUUCCCAGCAUAACAACCUGAGCUUGAAUGAUUUACCUCAUGGUGUUUAUUUGCAAAAAGAGCCUUCUUUUUGGCUAGUUUGCCACUAGUGGGCAGAGCAUUCAGCUAAGAUGCUUUGGUGAUAGUUGUUUAGCAUGUAUAGAUAUAAAUGGUUGCUUCUGACUAUAGCCACAAUCGUUUGUCCAAUCAAAUAUUCUUAGGGCAAUAGAACAGGUUUAAUACAUCAUAAGGAAAAAACCACAAUAAAUAUACAUUUUUUUAAAAAGCACACACAUACACACACAAGGCCACUUGCUUCAUAAGGGAGCUGUGCAACUGGCAGGAGCUUUGAGGCUUGUAGUUAUUUAAGAAGGAAUUGAGAUCAAGCCUUGGAAUACAGGCAGCAUUUCAGUAGAUGGAUAUGGGAGGCAAAGGCAUUGGGAUAAGUGCCAGGGGUGUGUGCUCACAGGCAACAUCUAGUGUCAAUAGAUACAAAUAUAUCCAAACUCAUUUUCAGCUCUUAUAUUUUCAUCUUAAAAAACAAACACUACUAAAAAUAUUUAAUUGUUAUAGCAGAAAAAGUAUCUCCAACAUGUGAUACAGAGGCACUUUCUUAGGUCACCGAAAAUCACUUGGUAAACUAUUGAUGAAUGGCUUGAAAGCAUUAAUACUGUUUCUUAUAUAUGCUUAAUAAAUCCAAAGACAGUAAUGUAUUCAAUGAAACAGCAAGUUGCUCUGAUUAAAAAAAAAAAAAAAGCAGUCUCUCCUUUCCCAGAUGCAAGAUCAUUUUGGUGAUCACGUCCAUCAGGCAACCACUGAAGUCCUGGGUGAGUCUCUGAGGAGUUCCUGACCAUUAGGAAAUUCUUGAGCAGUGGGAGAGAGAUGGGCCUGCAGUGGCCAACAGCCUGUGGAAACAUUUACAAAAGCAUUCAGCAGUCUCUAAUGACCAGAAAGCAACUGGAUAUUCCACUGCAACAAUGAAAAGAAACAUUUCAAUUUGGAUUUGUUUGCUUGUGAAACAAAUGUUUACAACGGAAACCUCUGUUUGGGUUGUUACCACGCGCUCAAACAAAGUAUGUAUUUACUGAAGAAUCAAGUACAGCUUCUCAUUGUAAGGAUUGCCUCUUUGGGGACAGGCUAUAUCAUAAGGAUAAUGUGCUGGAUAACAAAAAAGAAACAGAACUACAAGACUUUAAGGCAACAGGCAAUAUGUGCAACACUUACCGGCUCUGCAAAAGUGGCUUUCCCAGGAAGUACGUAUUAGUUAGGAUAAAAAAACUCCAGGCCAGUAACAUAGAAACCAAGAAUAUGGUGGCUUAAACAAGACAGAGGUUUAUUUCCAUCUCUUGUUACAAUUUAGGUGUAAGCAGUCCAGACUAUGGUGUCAGGAACCAGGCUCACUCAGUUUUAGCUGUAGCAUCCACAGCAUUUGGCUUCCAAAGUGUGGUCCAUGGUGGCUGCUCUGGCUACAGACAUCAUGUCUGCCUUCAAGCCAAUGGAAAAGAAAGGAGAGUCGAGGGAGGGAUUGCUUUUGCCCUUUAGAGCAGUGGUUCCCAACUGAGGGCAAUUUUGCUCCUCCCCGAGAAGAAGAUUUUUUGUCACAACUUGGUGGUGGGGGAGGGAGGUGGUAGCAGCACUAUUGACAUCUAGUAGAUAGAUGUCAGAGAUGCUGCUAAACACCUACUACGGACAAGACACGCCCCCAUAUGAUGAAUUAUCUGGCCUAACAUGUCAGUAUUGCUAAAUUUGAGAAAUCUUGCGUCAAACCGAAAGCUUCUUGUUGACAUAUAUUUGCAGGACACAGAAGCUGGCUGAGGACUGUUUCCACUACACUCCAGCUGCAUUCUGAGGGAAUUGCCUGGCAUAAAUGAGCAUAAUCUUUGGCAGAGACUGCCAGUGGUCUCCAGUGUCUGUUCUCUUCUUGUAUAUUAAUAGAACUUCAACCUGGGCCAGCUAAAAGAUUUCCAGCUUUUCCCCAAUUGUAGCAACCAAAAAUGUCUCCAAACAUUGCCAAAUAUCCCCUAUGAUAUUUUAUUAGGAAAUAUUUCUCAGUUUGAUGUCCUUGGGCAAGUCAACUAAACCUUUGGAAUCUCAGUUUCCUCAAAACUAAUCAUAUGGGUAAAACUUUUCUCUGUAAACGACUGUGGUAGGCAGAAUUUUAAGAUGUCCUUCAAGAUUCCCACCCCGGGGUGUAUACACACCUUCUCCCUGAUAUUCAAUCAAACACUAAGAUAUGUGCUGCUGCAAUGGAACUUUUCAGAUGUAACUGAGGUCCCAAAUCAGUUGACUAAGAAAAGGAAAUUGUGCUCCUUGCACCUGAUCUAGUUAGGUGAGCACAUAAAUGGAAUGGGGCUCUUCCUGGCAAAAGAGAUUCAUUCAAAGUGUGAGAGGGAUUCAAUGCAAAGGACAUUCUCCACCACUGGCUUUGAAGAUAAAGGGGACCAUGUGUCAAGAAUGUGAUGGCCUCUAGAAGUUAAGAGUGGCUCUAGGCAGACAGCCAGCAAAGAAAUGGAGAUUGUAGUCCUAUAGGAAUAAAUUCUGCCACAAUCACAUGAGGUGGAAAGAGAACGUUGAACUUCAGAUGAGGACACAGGCCAUUUGACACCUUUGCUUUUCUUUCGUAAGACUCUGAAUAGACAACCCAGCCACUCCAUGUCCAGACUUUUGACCUACAAAACUGUGAGCUAAUAAAUAGUAUUGUUUUAAGCUGCUAAAUUUGUGGGAAUUGGUUAUACAGCAAUAGAAAUCUAACAGAGUUAUUGCAAAGAUUGAUUGCAGUAAUGGUAGUUAUCCUUUAGCGAAUGCUAUUAUGUUACAGAAAACUAGCUAGGCAUUUUAACAGAAUUAUUUAUCCUUUCAAUAACUAUUGCAAGAUAGGCAUUAUUUCCCCCAUUUUACAAUUGUAGAAAUGAAGGCUUAUAGAAGUUUCUUAAUUUGCUUAAUAUACCACAGCAAAGAACUGAAAUUUAAAUGCCAGCGUCCAUAUCCUUUUCUCAUUGUCUAACUUUGUUAAAUAUAAAGUAUUAGAAAAAAGAGGCAUCCUAAUUUUAUUCAUUUUGCUAUGCAUACACCAUGACUAGUGAACAUUUUGAGAGACAGUAGACACACAAACAUCAAACACUGUGCAAUUACACACAUGUUGAGGUUUAGUUCUGGAGUCCACGAUAGUGGCUAAUCUAAGACAAGUCUUAGUUUUCAGCUUAAUGACACCUCUAUCUAUUUGUUUGACGUCUUUUUCCCUUUAAGUUGCAUUCAGCCAGCAGUGGGAGCUUUGAAACCCAAACAUUCUCUGUCGUCAUUUUUCAAAGAAUAUUUGAGCCAUUUCUGGACUUGUUGUACAUCAAGGAAAGGAAUGCCAGAAGCCACAUAUCUAAAUGUUUACUUAAAAUAAUAGUAAUUUUGAUAACUGUCACUUAGGAGCAUUUAUCAUGUGUCAGGCCCAGGGCUAAGUUCAGAGUGUUGGACCAUCCUCAGAGAAUCCUGUGAUGUAAACAGCAUUACUACGCUAAGCUUACAGGAGAGAAAAUGGCCUCAAAUAUCUUCAGCACCUUGCACAGGCAAACUUGCAAGGAGGUAGCCCAGACAAAAUCAAAUCCAUGAUCUGUUAGACUCUGUGCCUCUUACCUCCCAGUAGAUAUUGUUGUUAAUCGUGGAAUCUCACAAGCGUCCUCCAAAUCUGCCACUGGAAUGAAGAGGCUUUCUCAGGGUGUCCCCAGACGAGUCUGAACCCUAAACAUGGUGCCUGGUAUUUACUAUAUCUUGAUUCUGGUUUUAGAUACCAUCUACAUACACAUCUCCUGUGUAUGCAUGUGGUUCUCCAGUAGAACUCAUUUGGAGUGCUGCUUCUGGUUUACCUAUGCCAUAAGGAGCCUUAUGGCUGGAGUGCAUCUGAUGGUGAUGACUUUUGUUGCUUUACUCAUGUUCUUUCAUCCAAAUCCUUAAAGGGUACGGCACUUCAAUACAGCUGGUGAAGAUUAGGGUAUAUUGUAAGGCAGAAAGCUGAAAACAGAUUUCUCCAAGCCAUCUGUAAUGGCUAUGCAGCUGUGGUGCCCGCACACAUCUGGAGAGCUGCUGUAAAAUAAGAGUCUAACAUUUGGCAAAGGUACCCGAUGGCCUUGUUAUCAAAUGUGAAUAGAGGCAGAGUCAAGUUUAAGACUAGGAAGGGGACAGCCAUAACAAUAACAAAAUACGCAGAAAGGUAAAAGAGCAACUGAUAGAUAACAACACAUUACAAAAGGAGAAAAGUGUAUGGGGAAGAUGGUGAGAUAGCAGGAUAAGCGUCUUUGAAAAUGCUAAAGAGAGAGAUUCAAAAAUGCCUUGAUUGUCACAGUAAUUAGAAACUAUUGGAAUUGUGCUUAGUUAAAUCUGGUUAAUUUGCGAGACUUGGCAGAAGAACUGGUGUUAAAGGUUGCCACAGAUGACAUUUGGUGUGAUGUGUCCUGGGGGCGCUCCAUCAUUACUGAUUGAGUAAAUGACAUUAACAAAAGAGAUGGACAAGCCUGUCUCCACUCAUUUCAUGGAAUACCAUUGCCUUUUAAGGGAUCCUGCCAACCUCAGCUUUUCUUCAACUGAAAAAAAGAAAAAAUGGUGCUGGAAGUAGCUUUAAGAAGAAUUGAGUCAUUAAGAUGGUGCAAACAGAUUCCUUUUCUGAAAGCAUGGCUACCCUGUGGUCAAUUCCCCCUUGGUGCUCUGUAAUAGAUUCUCCCACAGCCUUUGAAUCUUCCAAGAAGUUUCAGCAAAUGAUUGAUAAUAGGAUCUGCCCCUAGAAAGGAGGCAGAUUUCAGAGCUGCGAGAGAAAGCCCAUUGAAUGGCAGGAUAAAUGUAGGAGGAGAACGGAGAGGCCUCACCAUAGUGGGAAGCUCGGUUUCGCUCUAAGUCGUUGGCAUAGAGCUCAAUUUGGGGUCUUGAUGCUCCUUUUAGUUUUAAAGUAGGAAUCUCACAGUCAUUCUUUUUUCAGGUUGAGUUGACAUCGAGAAAGCAAGCUGCUCUACUUGGAGCCAAACCAGACAGCCUGCCCAUUCUGCUAAUUGGAUUUGGGGAUCUGUGUUGAGGUAGCUUGAGCUGGAAGUUUAUUCACCUCUGCUCAGAUGCCAAAUCCAUUGGUCCAGAAGUACAUAGAAUCUAAAAAAAUUAAUUAGCAAAAUGGCUAUGUCAUGGACAUUUCCAAAAUGUAUAUCUUGUGGUUGGUCUCAGUUGGGGACUCUUUUAUUUUUAACUGAUCAAUUAAACUUGUCUAGCUACAUGAAUUGUUCUAAUUACUGAGUUUUCCCAGAAUUAAAUACUCUAAGCUAAAUCAACUAACAUUUAGCAAACGGGAGCUCCUUCUUCUGCUUCUCUCCCUAAGAGCCCUCUAUAGAAUUAACAGUUAGGUGCUAAUUGCAGAUGAUUAAGUGCUCACCAGUGUUGGAGUCCUUUCUUUAAUAUUAAUGAGAUGGAUUAGCAUGGAACAUGUCUUCUAUUAAUAUUAUAAAUGGAAGCCUGCAUGGAUCACUGAGUGCUCUUUUGUAUCAUAAGGAGCAUUUGGUUUAAAGGAAUAAAGAAAGUACGCUCCUAAACUGUAUCUUCCUUUCAAUUGCGAAAUAAAGUUACUGAGGGAAAUGUUUCAAUAUCAUUCAUUUAGAGCAACCAUGUAGCAUUUUUGCAAUAACCAGAGUUGCAAACUUUUACAUAAAACUUCUUUCAGCUGUCUCCUUGAGUAGGCAUAGCACAUUAAACCAGAGUAGAGUUUAAAUUAUUCCAUAAAGUAUGAUCCAGAAAGACCCACCUUUCUAUACUACUAAAAGAAAUUACUUGACAGUUCAGCACUAUUUUCACAAACCUGAAUUCUCUUCCAAGACAACUUGCUUAUUUAAAAAAACGUUAAUUGAUUUCCUUUACCCAUUUGAAAACAGCAAACUGACUGCUUUUUCUUUUUGUUGAGGAACAGAUAGUUAAUAAUCACUUCUUCCUUCUUACUUUUCCUAAGAAGAUGCUUAUGAAAGAGUGAGACUUAUACUUCAUACGUUGCUGUCAGAAUCCACCUCAAUGAGCUAGAGCAACAUCGUCUCUAAGUUGUAGGAAGAGCAUUGUUCCACUUUAUUUCUUAUUCGUUAAAACUAUGGUUCAUUUUGACAAGUGCUAUUUGAAUGGUACCAUAAAAGACACAGAAAUGCAAAACAUUUCUUUUAAAUCCCGGUAUGAUCUAAAAAUUAUCAUUUUAUCUCUUUUGUCGCUUGCAAGCAUUUGCAAAUGAGAACAUAAAAGCUUAUGCAUCCAAACUAAAUCCAAAUCUGUGUUAAUGCAGAGUACACCACGUUUUGAUUAAGGACUUGACCCUCUGAGUCAAACUUCUAGUUUUGUCCUUACUCUUUGAACUUAAAACUAUGUACACAUUUACCAUUUGUCCUAGGUAAACCUGCUUAGAACUAAAUAAUACUGAGUGACUGCUUAUAAUGCAUAGUAAUAGAGCUGAUAUUUGUGUUUAAAAUUUUAUAUGUUACAAGUCAUAUUGAGUAAUAGAGGAUUUCUCAGGUCACAGAAAAAUGGAAACAUAUAGCUACCACCUUACAUUUGACCUGGCAUAUGUUUGGUUUAAUCCAGAAUAUGCAUUAUAUGUUGGUCAAUUAUAUUUCUUUACAAAGAGAUUCAGAUGUUGCUGUGACUUUUUAAUUAUCUCAAACGUUAUCUAUGUAAAAUCAUAAUUUAUAGUAACUGAUACAUUAUCUAGCAAAAAAAUUUCCUUAAAAUAUCUGGUCUUCUGAGAUAUUUACAAUUAUUCUUACAAAUGCUAAGAUAUGCAAUCUGCAAAAUGAAUUCUUGAAAAUUGUGGUAGGUAGAAUUCUGAGAUAAUCUCCAAGAUAGAAGCUCCUUGGUGUGCACACCCUCUAUAAUUUCCUCCCCUUGAGUGUGAACAGGACCAGUGAAUAUAAUGAGAUACCACUCUCAGGAUUAGGUUAUUUAUCAGUUGAUCUGGAGUCAAUCAAGAAAACUAUCUUGAGUGGUCUUGACCUAACCAGAUGAGCCCUUUAACAUAAAGUGAAGUGUCAAAGAUUCUUUCCUGCUGACCCAGAAGAAAGCAAACAGUUGUGUUGUGAAGGAAGGGACCAUGAAGCGAGCAGCUAAGGAUGGCCUCUGGGAACUGAGAGUGGUCCUCAGCAGACAGCUAGCAAGGAAAUGGAGCCUCAGUUAUACAGCCAGAGGGAAAUGAAUUCCACCAACGACCUGUGAAUUUGGAAGAGGACCCCGAGCCUCAGAUGAGGUCACAGCCUUGUUCACACCUUGAAUUAAAACUGUGAGACCCUCAGCAAAAGACCCAACUAACUCAUGCCUGGACUCCUGACCCACAGAAAAUAUGAAAUAGUAAAUUUGUGUUGUUUUGAGCCAUGGAAGUUUAUGGCAAUUUGUUAGCAGCAAUAGAAAACUAAUACCAAUAGGAAUAUGGUUUGAUCCAGGCAGAAUAAAUUUAACUGAGAACACUCACUCUUCUCAUUUAAUGAAAUCUGGCUGAAGGUUUACAACAGCCCACAAAAUUUGGUAUCAUUCACGGCAAAUGAAAAAAGUUUUGGAGCCCCAAGUAAUAUUGUUAGUUAAAAGGAAAGCAAGAGUUUUGUAAUUUUGUCUCCUUCUCUUCUUCAGAUAGAUGCUGUUAUCAUUGACAAUGACACUGCCAAUCAUUCUUGUGUUGCAAGAAAUUGGCUAGGCAUAUCUUAGAAUUCUCUUCACUGCUCACAGGUUUCAGACUCAUAAGAGAUGAUAAACUUCUAUGGGAGCCUCGGCCCUUCUUGACAGUAGAUUCUGUUCUCAAAGCCUUGGACAAAGGAUUAUAAUUAAUUGUGGCAAUGCUUGCGUUACCCUCUCCAUGAACUCACCAUUCCCUGUGUGUCACCUUCUGAGUGUCAACAGCAGACAGCAUUGAAUGAGUCUCAGACAAAAAUUCUGAACAUCAGUGAUAUUUCUUCCUGCUUCCCCUGGUUUGGAGAGUUCUGCUUGGCAAGACAUUAAAUCAUGUGGAUAUCUGCCUUUGACAACUCUUGGGAAUCCAGAGCUGAGAAUCAUUUUACAUAGCGUAAAAUUCACUGGAGUCUGUCGAAUCGUGAGCCAAUAUUUGGAGGGAAUGGCUAACAAGUGUCUGCCAUUUUCUUUUUUCUUCUUCUCUGUCAGAGGAUUCAGAAUUUCCAAGUUGGGGUCAGAAUAAAAUAUGUGAUAAAAGCAAGAGCUAUCCAGCGUAGGAUCUUUGCUGUGCAUCCUAAUAAUGCAAUAGUUGUUGGGGCUGGCCCCGUGGCCGAGUGGUUAAGUUCGCGCGCUCCGCUGCAGGCGGCCCAGUGUUUCGUUGGUUCGAAUCCUGGAAUCCUGGGCGCGGACAUGGCACUGCUCAUCACACCACGCUGAGGCAGAGUCCCACAUGCCACAACUAGAAGGACCCACAAGGAAGAAUAUACAACUAUGUACUGGGGGGCUUUGGGGAGAAAAAGGAAAAAAAAUAAAAUCUUUAAAAAAAAAAAAAUAAUGCAAUAGUUGUUGCAGAUCAACAAUGAAAACACAGCCACAGCACAUACACACACACACUCAGUUUUGAGGACACAUAGACUCCUGCUGAAGAAUUCUUAUAAUUGAUAUUAUUUCUUCUCUUCUAGACUGUCAUAUUAUUCUGCCGAGAGAAGAGCUACAGCAGAGGCUGUAAGAGAAAACUAUCCCCAAUCUAUUUCCAUAGUAAACCACCUUUAUAUUAUUUCUGAGAACACCCCUGAGAAUACACUUUUGUGGCUGUAGCCUAGUUACAAGGCUGGGUCAGCAUUAAGUCAUUACUAGUGAAUCUGAUUUUUUCUUUCUCUGCUGAGAAGACAAACAGUAGUACUGGCCAGACGUUCUUUAACACCAUAAAUGUUUAUCACACACUUAACUACUAAUUCUAUAGUCGGUUGUUGACUCAUAAGCAACAUGAAUAAUCUCAAUACAGUAAACUGACAACAACUGGGCUCAUUUCAUUCAGUCAUCUUUCCUUAUUUUAAACCAAAAUGUCCACAAGGCAUAUUUUCCCCCAUAAGCCUAAAUCUGAAAAAUUAAAAUGGUAUAUCAUGUUCAGUGUUGUUCUUUAAAGAUCCCUAGAAUAAAAGGCUCGAGUUUGAGGAGCAGAUCCAAAUCUUCUUGGCAGCUU